AGUACCGUGAGGGAAAGGUGAAAAGCACCCCGGAAGGGGAGUGAAAUAGAACCUGAAACCGUGUGCUUACAAGUAGUCAGAGCCCGUUAAUGGGUGAUGGCGUGCCUUUUGUAGAAUGAACCGGCGAGUUACGAUUUGAUGCAAGGUUAAGCAGUAAAUGUGGAGCCGUAGCGAAAGCGAGUCUGAAUAGGGCGUUUAGUAUUUGGUCGUAGACCCGAAACCAGGUGAUCUACCCUUGGUCAGGUUGAAGUUCAGGUAACACUGAAUGGAGGACCGAACCGACUUACGUUGAAAAGUGAGCGGAUGAACUGAGGGUAGCGGAGAAAUUCCAAUCGAACCUGGAGAUAGCUGGUUCUCUCCGAAAUAGCUUUAGGGCUAGCCUCAAGUGAUGAUUAUUGGAGGUAGAGCACUGUUUGGACGAGGGGCCCCUCUCGGGUUACCGAAUUCAGACAAACUCCGAAUGCCAAUUAAUUUAACUUGGGAGUCAGAACAUGGGUGAUAAGGUCCGUGUUCGAAAGGGAAACAGCCCAGACCACCAGCUAAGGUCCCAAAAUAUAUGUUAAGUGGAAAAGGAUGUGGCGUUGCCCAGACAACUAGGAUGUUGGCUUAGAAGCAGCCAUCAUUUAAAGAGUGCGUAAUAGCUCACUAGUCGAGUGACACUGCGCCGAAAAUGUACCGGGGCUAAACAUAUUACCGAAGCUGUGGAUUGUCCUUUGGACAAUGGUAGGAGAGCGUUCUAAGGGCGUUGAAGCAUGAUCGUAAGGACAUGUGGAGCGCUUAGAAGUGAGAAUGCCGGUGUGAGUAG
This 805-nucleotide ribosomal RNA is filed under the name Staphylococcus aureus. RNAcentral describes it as "partial 23S ribosomal RNA". It matches the Rfam family "Bacterial large subunit ribosomal RNA", at positions 497 to 1309 of the family's 2925-position model. Lineage: Bacteria; Bacillati; Bacillota; Bacilli; Caryophanales; Staphylococcaceae. The record is from RNAcentral.